RNAcentral lists this ribosomal RNA (355 nucleotides) under Funneliformis mosseae. RNAcentral describes it as "SSU rRNA". It matches the Rfam family "Eukaryotic small subunit ribosomal RNA", at positions 569 to 932 of the family's 1831-position model. Lineage: Eukaryota; Fungi; Glomeromycota; Glomeromycetes; Glomerales; Glomeraceae. The record is from RNAcentral.
AGCAGCCGCGGUAAUUCCAGCUCCAAUAGCGUAUAUUAAAGUUGUUGCAGUUAAAAAGCUCGUAGUUGAAUUUCGGGAUCAAUAUAACGGUCAUGCCGUUGGUAUGCACUGUUAUAAUUGGUUUCUCACCUUCUAAAGAACCGUAAUGCCAUUAAUUUGGUGUCACGGGGAAUUAGGACUGUUACCUUGAAAAAAUUAGAGUGUUUAAAGCAGGCUCACGCUUGAAUACAUUAGCAUGGAAUAAUGAAAUAGGACAUCCGAUUCUAUUUUGUUGGUUUCUAGGAUCGAUGUAAUGAUUAAUAGGGAUAGUUGGGGACGGAUUGAUUCUAUUUCGUUGGUUUCUAGGAUCACCGUA